GGUGAAGUGGGGGCAGCCGCGGGGGGAUGGCGGAGGGUGGGGGCGUGAAUCGGAAUGAGUGGGCGUAAAGGGGGGGCAGGCGGUUUUGCAAGACAUUGGUGAAAUCCCCGGGGGCAACCUGGGAACGGCCAUUGUGACUGGAAGGCUGGAGGGCGGCAGAGGGGGAUGGAAUUUCGCGUGUAGCAGUGAAAUGCGUAGAUAUGCGAAGGAACACCGAUGGCGAAGACAAUCCCCUGGGCCUGCACUGACGCUCAUGCACGAAAGCGUGGGGAGCAAACAGGAUUAGAUACCCCGGUAGUC
Molecule: ribosomal RNA, 300 nt
Filed under: uncultured Sulfophobococcus sp.
Lineage: Archaea; Thermoproteati; Thermoproteota; Thermoprotei; Desulfurococcales; Desulfurococcaceae
Description: partial 16S ribosomal RNA
Rfam family: Bacterial small subunit ribosomal RNA (bases 52-300)
Source: RNAcentral